UCAAAAUGUAACCUUGCAAGUUAAGAGUAUCUAAUAAACAAUUAUCAGCAUAACAAAAUCAAACUUUGAAUUCAAACAGUAUGGCAUAAUUGUACUUGCUACAUAAUUAACCAUAACUAUGCCCCCCAAUAAAUCCCAAAGGUCAUCCCUAAUAAUAUAUAUACAAACCCCAAUUAACAAUUCUCUCAUCAAAUAUUUCUACUAGUUUUCAGUUAAUGUUAAUGGCAGCUAACUAUCAAAGGUCUAGCUUGGUGACUAUCUUCAUCAUUCUCAUGGUAUUACCCUUGAUGGUACCACCGGCCAAUGCCGCUCGGUUCGCCCAACAAGGUAUAAUUGAGGUGAGUCUAAAGGAGGAACCAAUGUGUCCUCAAUGCACCUGCUGCUCAGCUCCACCACCAGGCUCUUGUUGCAAGUGUUGCACUAAUUCUGUUCAACCUCUUGAUACUAACAUGCCGUAGGACUACAUCAUGUUUCAUGUGGCUCUCUUAUAGAAAACCAAAAUAAUAAUCAUAUGAAUAAGAAAUUGUUUGUCAAUUA
Molecule: long non-coding RNA, 537 nt
Organism: Ricinus communis (castor bean)
Lineage: Eukaryota; Viridiplantae; Streptophyta; Magnoliopsida; Malpighiales; Euphorbiaceae
Exons: 2
Source: RefSeq, a predicted model, not a curated record